Molecule: ribosomal RNA, 532 nt
Filed under: uncultured bacterium
Lineage: Bacteria
Description: bacterial SSU rRNA
Rfam family: Bacterial small subunit ribosomal RNA
Source: RNAcentral
AAUAGAUACCCGGGUAGUCCACGCCGUAAACGGUGGGCGCUAGGUGUGGGGGACUUUCCACGUCCUCUGUGCCGCAGCUAACGCAUUAAGCGCCCCGCCUGGGGAGUACGGCCGCAAGGCUAAAACUCAAAGGAAUUGACGGGGGCCCGCACAAGCGGCGGAGCAUGUGGCUUAAUUCGACGCAACGCGAAGAACCUUACCAAGGCUUGACAUGCAGGGAAAUCUCGUAGAGAUACGGGGUCCGCAAGGGCUCUGCACAGGUGGUGCAUGGUUGUCGUCAGCUCGUGCCGUGAGAUGUUGGGCUAAGUCCCGCAACGAGCGCAACCCUUGUCCUAUGUUGCCAGCGAGUAAUGUCGGGGACUCAUAGGAGACUGCCGGGGUCAACUCGGAGGAAGGUGGGGAUGACGUCAAAUCAUCAUGCCCCUUAUGUCUUGGGCUGCACACAUGCUACAAUGGUCGGUACAAAGGGCUGCGAGACCGCAAGGUGGAGCGAAUCCCAAAAAACGCCGGCCUCAGUUCGGAUUGGGGUCUG